Molecule: unclassified non-coding RNA, 220 nt
Filed under: uncultured Nocardioidaceae bacterium
Lineage: Bacteria; Bacillati; Actinomycetota; Actinomycetes; Propionibacteriales; Nocardioidaceae
Description: contains 16S-23S intergenic spacer region
Source: RNAcentral
UCCGAGUUGACCCCGGCAGUCUCCUAUGAGUCCCCACCAUAACGUGCUGGCAACAUAGGACGAGGGUUGCGCUCGUUGCGGGACUUAACCCAACAUCUCACGACACGAGCUGACGACAGCCAUGCACCACCUGUAUAGGACCCUUACGGACCCCACAUCUCUGCGGGAUUUCCCUAUAUGUCAAACCCAGGUAAGGUGGGGAUGACGUAGCUAAGCCUUC